RNAcentral lists this ribosomal RNA (504 nucleotides) under uncultured bacterium. RNAcentral's name for it is "bacterial SSU rRNA". It matches the Rfam family "Bacterial small subunit ribosomal RNA", at positions 28 to 507 of the family's 1533-position model. The record is from RNAcentral.
AACGAACGCUGGCGGCGUGCUUAAGACAUGCAAGUCGAACGGAAAGGCCCCCUUCGGGGGGUACUCGAGUGGCGCACGGGUGAGUAACGCGUGGGUAAUCUGCCUUCGGGUCUGGGACAACCCCGGGAAACUGGGGCUAAUACCGGAUGAGACCACGGACUCUUCGGAGUCUGCGGAAAAAGAUGGCCUCUCCUUGGAAGCUAUCGCCCGUCGAUGAGCCCGCGUCCCAUUAGCUUGUUGGUGAGGUAACGGCUCACCAAGGCUUCGAUGGGUAGCUGGUCUGAGAGGAUGAUCAGCCACACUGGAACUGAGACACGGUCCAGACUCCUACGGGAGGCAGCAGUCGGGAAUUUUGGGCAAUGGGCGAAAGCCUGACCCAGCAACGCCGCGUGAGGGAUGAAGGCCCUCGGGUCGUAAACCUCUGUCGGGAGGGAAGAACGGUUGCCCUUCGAACAGGUGGGCAGCCUGACGGUACCUCCAAAGGAAGCACCGGCUAACUCCGUG